AACGAACGCUGGCGGCAGGCUUAACACAUGCAAGUCGAACGCAUCCUUCGGGGUGAGUGGCAGACGGGUGAGUAACGCGUGGGAACGUGCCCUUCAGUUCGGGAUAACCCAGGGAAACUUGGGCUAAUACCGGAUACGUGCGAGAGCAGAAAGAUUUAUCGCUGAAGGAUCGGCCCGCGUCUGAUUAGCUAGUUGGUGGGGUAAUGGCCCACCAAGGCGACGAUCAGUAGCUGGUCUGAGAGGAUGAUCAGCCACAUUGGGACUGAGACACGGCCCAAACUCCUACGGGAGGCAGCAGUGGGGAAUAUUGGACAAUGGGCGCAAGCCUGAUCCAGCCAUGCCGCGUGAGUGAUGAAGGCCUUAGGGUUGUAAAGCUCUUUCAGUACCGACGAAGCGCCAAUAACGGUGGUGACGGUAGGUACAGAAGAAGGACCGGCCAACUACGUGCCAGCAGCCGCAGUAAAAC
RNAcentral lists this ribosomal RNA (466 nucleotides) under uncultured bacterium. Its description in RNAcentral is "bacterial SSU rRNA". It matches the Rfam family "Bacterial small subunit ribosomal RNA", at positions 29 to 526 of the family's 1533-position model. The record is from RNAcentral.